ACACGGCAGCUCUCUACUGUCGCGCGCUCGACUCUCUCUCUCCCUCCCCUCGCGGCGAAACCGCGCACUGUAUGCAUAUAUAGGUGUCUUCCUGUUCGAACCCGCGACCGUUACAUACGCGCGCGCGCGCUAUGUCUAUAUCUAUACGCGUUGGAUUUGACACUGGCGCUAUAGCUACCCCCGCGGACGGUAGCCAUGCAGGAGAGGAACUGAGCAGAGCGGCGAGUGAGAAAAGGAAGGUGACCUCGACGAUGGAAGAGAGAAGCAAGACCGAGAUCUCGAGAGCGGCGCGGAGGGAGUAGUAGAGUCGUCGAAACGCGACAAAAGACUGCUGCGGCGCGCUGAAUGCUUCUCUGAUGCGACUGCUGAGUGAAUUGAGGCUCACCACCCGUACAAAGUGUAAAGAAUUUCACCUGGCCGACGAAGCAUCGAAUUCAACCUCGCCAAAAACCAAAAAAAGCCGUCGACGAAAAUAAGGGACAUCCCCCGGCGGAAUAACAAAUUCAAUCCCACGAUCCAGAAAGCGAAUGGCGCGUCCGAUGGCGCGAAGAUAAAAAUAUCGCUUUAAGUGGACAUCGGGGCCGAGGGCUUCGGCGAAACGGCUCACAAGAGCUUGACGAGAUGAGCCAAUUAAAAUGGCGCGAGUUGAGACACGUUGAUUUAAUUUAUGC
Molecule: long non-coding RNA, 671 nt
Organism: Nasonia vitripennis (jewel wasp)
Lineage: Eukaryota; Metazoa; Arthropoda; Insecta; Hymenoptera; Pteromalidae
Exons: 3
Source: RefSeq, a predicted model, not a curated record